Armillaria borealis is the source of this 129-nucleotide non-coding RNA. The record is from the annotation of a GenBank genome assembly. Lineage: Eukaryota; Fungi; Basidiomycota; Agaricomycetes; Agaricales; Physalacriaceae.
GGCAAGAUGGCCGAGCGGUUAAGGCGUGUGACUCAAGUUCGUCCGGAUUAUAUAAUUCGGAACUGGCUUACCCGGACACGGGUUUCUCAUCACGGUAUCGUGGCGUGGGUUCAAGUCCCACUCUUGUCA